GCUCGCUUUGGCAGCACAUACUAAAAUUGGAACAAUACAGAGAAGAUUAGCAUAGCCCUUGCACAAGAAUGACACACAAAUUCGUGAAGAGUUCCAUAUUUCA
RNAcentral lists this small nuclear RNA (103 nucleotides) under Salvator merianae (Argentine black and white tegu). The record is from RNAcentral. Lineage: Eukaryota; Metazoa; Chordata; Lepidosauria; Squamata; Teiidae.